This is a long non-coding RNA of Sus scrofa (pig), 2504 nucleotides long. RefSeq lists it as uncharacterized. The record is from RefSeq and is a predicted model, not a curated record. NCBI's taxonomy places the organism in Eukaryota, Metazoa, Chordata, Mammalia, Artiodactyla, Suidae.
GCCGCCCUCUAACCACUUCCCCUUGCAGCGGCCAGUGGGAGGUGUUCGUUCCUGCCUCCAGUGGAAUCUAGCUUCCCUGGGGCAAGGAUUUCAGGGCUUCCAUGGUCUGGGCGCGACCCCUCUUCCUCUGUGGGCAGGCUGUCUCCAUGCCUGGGACGCAGCUCCUGUUUCUCUCAUCAGUAAUUUCCUGGAGAUGGUGCGGGGCUGGAACAGGCGGGCCCCAGACCUGGGCUGGGCUGUGACCACCACCAGGCUGCAGAGGCCUGGCCCAGAUCCCUGCUCCUCCUUCCUCACCUCUUCUUCCCUCCCCUUCAUGUACCAGCUCUACCUUCUGCCACCUUCUCAGCCCCAGGCCUCUGGGAACUGCAGACUCUCCAGGCCCCUCCCUACCAUGGUCCCUUGGGAGUGGGGCCGGGGAGCUGCUCAAGGUCACAGAGGAGGUUAGGGGCUGAGCUGGGACAGGAACCCAGCUCCAGCCUCUUCCCAGCUCUUCAGGACAGGCAGCCUCCAAGGAAGGUGAGCUCCUCCUGCCCUUCCUCUGAGACAGCUGACCUGGGGCUGGGCAGUGGCACGGGGGUGGGGCGCAGGCCCUGCUGCCCCCCCUCCCCCACCUCCGAGCCUCCAUUUCUUCUAUAUUUGGGGCAUUUCAAACCCUGGCUAGUCUCUGUGCCUGCUUUGCCGUGAGGCCCUCCUGCCUACGGUUGGGUGGGUCCUUAAUUAUGGGGUGGGGCCAGAGGUGGCAGAAGGGACCCAGCUCAGGAAAAAAAAAAAAAGGGCCUCUAUAGAUAGGAAGGCCAUCAUCUGCCACCUGCUGGCUGGAUUCAAGCUCCUAGCAAAUGCUUCCUGGUCUUUGAAUCCUGUCUUCAUUUUUUGACCUUGAGAUCUAAUAUCUUGGUCUUCAGUGUCCCUCCCCUCCCAUUUGGGCCCACCCUUUUUCACUGUGUCCUUGUUUCCUUCAAUUUGUCAACACUGUUCAUAUCAGCAUCCCCAUCCCAGAGGGAUCUGUAGGCAGAGGGCUCUGGCAGGGGCACUGCUUUACCCAGAGACACUGUGUGCCAUGUGACAGCCAGGUAUAAGGGAGGGGCUUGGGACAGGAGCUUCCUAGAACUCUGUGACCCAACCCUGUGGACGUUCACCUUCUCUAAGCAAGGCUGAUCCAUUUAUGUUCAUUACUGAAUUCGAAUUCCAAGGGAAGACAGUCUGCAGGUUGUUCCCAAAUAGAAACACACAUGCACAGAGAACCAGGAGCUUCUGCCAACAUGGCCCUCUUCCCCCGCGGCUCCCUGGGCCUGCAUCCCUCGGCCUGCAGGAGGAGGGGGGGAGAGGGAUCUGGAGGUGAGUGUCUGCUCCUGGCCCAGGCAGCCCUGCCAGUGCAGCCCUUCCAAGCAGGAAGGGGUGGGGGGAGCAGGGCCCUUGGGGUGGAGGUGUUUCAGUAUGAAGUCAUUUCCCACAGUGAAGCAGCAGCCACAUUCUGCACGGUCCACUUGCAGUCUGGGAUGCCUGCCCAGUGCCAGGAGAGAGUCUAAAAAUGCCCAAGCCCGUCUCGGAAUCUCGGGAGGCUGCCGAAGGGAACCUGGGCGUCGGCAAAUCCCCAAACAACUGCCUGUUCCACACCGAAGCCGGCAGGGGGUGGAACUCAUUCCAGCCUCCAGAGGCCCCGCAUUUCGCAGGGUGACAUAGUGCCCAAUAUCCGGACCACUGCCUGGAGCCCCUCAUGGGCAGUCCUGAUUCUGUGCCAUCUCCGGGUUCCCAGUGCCCAGGACUGAGUAGAUCCAAUCACUCAGCGUGGAGAUGGAGCUGAAAAUCCAAGUAGGUCUGCAGUGGGAGAUUUUCAUUGGUUUCCUCUGGCUCCUGUGAGUCUCCUGGGGUGUCCACACUGCCACAUGCCUGUCUACUUUGCUGCCUGAAAACUGCUCCAUGACAACACUGGCUGGAAAAGCAAAGGGACUCUGGCUGGGGAGCUGGCUGUCCAGAAACCAUGGUGACCAACAGCAGGAACCCACCCAGGUUAAGAGCUGGCUGUGCCCAGAUAUGGUAAGUUGAAAACAUUUUAUUUCAAUUCUAUCCUCAGGAGGCAGCAUAAAUAAUCACAGAUGACCACGAAGGUCAGUGGGGAAGAAAAAAAAGCUGCAGAAGUGUGGGGAGGAGAUGUGAGCUGACACAGUCUAGCUGUGGGGUCUAGGGGGGUGAGGAGACCCUGCUUUAGCUGGCUGAGAGGCUGGAAGGUUCUUGGAGGAAAAGCCCGAGGGGAUGGGGGGUUUUCCCUGCCCAGGUCACCCAGAGGGGCCCUCAGGAGCCCCGCCUCUGUGGAUGGUUAUUCUGCAGGGUGGCCUUGGGACUAGCAGGUGUGGAGCACAAUGCGUGCAGCAGGUUCUAGCUAAUGAGAGAGAAGAGUGGACACUCAUUUCUUGAUCUCCAGUCCGGAUCUCAAAGUCACCCCCUAACUGACUUUUCUGAGAACAGUGUUCACCGACUCGUAGGUAGUGAGAAAUGAAGGGAGAAAA